AAGUCGUAACAAGGUUUCCGUAGGUGAACCUGCGGAAGGAUCAUUACCAUAUCCAAAACUUUACCAACCCACCGUGUGAACUGUUGUGAAUGUUCUUUAUUUACUUGGGGUUUAGGAAGCUUGUGAGAGACCAAGAGAAGUUACGGAUGGCGUUUGUUCACAUCUAUUUUGAGUAGUGUAGCCUCGUUAAACAGGCUACGAACAAACACUGUCUUUCUCUGGGUUGCUCGUCUGCUUCUGUUGCCCCAUGAGUAAAUAGCUGGAGCAUUCGAUUUAAACUACUCAGAAAACUUAACACCUUGUCAAACCAACAACAUACAAACCUGAUUUUUGUAGCGAUGAAGCAUCUUUAUGGUGCUUGAUCAAUACUAAAAAACGAAAACCAAUAGACAACUUACAACGGUGGAUCUCUUGGCUCGU
Molecule: unclassified non-coding RNA, 420 nt
Filed under: fungal sp.
Lineage: Eukaryota; Fungi
Description: partial internal transcribed spacer region
Rfam family: Eukaryotic small subunit ribosomal RNA (bases 1-46)
Source: RNAcentral